Molecule: ribosomal RNA, 252 nt
Filed under: uncultured bacterium
Lineage: Bacteria
Description: partial 16S ribosomal RNA
Rfam family: Bacterial small subunit ribosomal RNA
Source: RNAcentral
UACAGAGGUCUCGAGCGUUGUUCGGAUUCAUUGGGCGUAAAGGGUGCGUAGGUGGCUAGGUAAGUCGGAUGUGAAAUCCCGGGGCUCAACCCCGGAACUGCAUUCGAUACUGCCUGGCUAGAGUACUGGAGAGGAGAUUGGAAUUUACGGUGUAGCAGUGAAAUGCGUAGAUAUCGUAAGGAAGACCAGUGGCGAAGGCGGAUCUCUGGACAGUUACUGACACUGAGGCACGAGGCCAGGGGAGCAAACGGG